RNAcentral lists this transfer RNA (75 nucleotides) under Pontibacillus chungwhensis. Its description in RNAcentral is "tRNA-Asn". It matches the Rfam family "tRNA". From Rfam's summary of the family: Transfer RNA (tRNA) molecules are approximately 80 nucleotides in length. Lineage: Bacteria; Bacillati; Bacillota; Bacilli; Caryophanales; Bacillaceae. RNAcentral also lists the same sequence under 11 other names. The record is from RNAcentral.
UCCAACGUAGCUCAGUGGUAGAGCUAUCGGCUGUUAACCGAUCGGUCGCAGGUUCGAAUCCUGCCGUUGGAGCCA